CCUACGGUGCGCAGCAGUGAGGAAUAUUGGUCAAUGGACGCGAGCCUGAACCAGCCAAGUCGCGUGCGGGACGACGGUCCUAUGGAUUGUAAACCUCUUUUGUCGGGGAGCAAAAGACGCCACGCGUGGCGUUCCGCGAGUACCCGCAGAAAAAGCAUCGGCUAACUCCGUGCCCGCAGCCGCGGUAAUACGGAGGAUGCGAGCGUUAUCCGGCUUUCUUGGGUUUAAAGGGUGCGUAGGCGGGCCUUCAGGCGGGCGGUAAAAUUGCGGGGCUCAACCCGGCCGAGCCGGCGGAAGCGGGGGCAUUGAGUACGGGAGAAGUAGGCGGAAUGCGUGGUGUAGCGGUGAAAUGCAUAGAUAUCACGCAGAACCCCGAUUGCGAAGGCAGCGUACCGGCCGGUCACUGACGCUGAGGCACGAAAGCGCGGGUAUCGAACAGGAUUAGAUACCCGAGUAGUC
RNAcentral lists this ribosomal RNA (459 nucleotides) under uncultured bacterium. Its description in RNAcentral is "partial 16S ribosomal RNA". It matches the Rfam family "Bacterial small subunit ribosomal RNA", at positions 338 to 795 of the family's 1533-position model. The record is from RNAcentral.